UAACCAUAUAGUUAUAUUGCUGCUGACUAAAGCCGAGAGUAAUUUUACAACUCCAUUAUCCACAUUGGAUGACUUAUUUGUGAGAUUAGCCUAACUUCUAGCUGCCCACCCCCUCUGCUGUUUAACUUGCUUUUGGAUAAUGUUCCAACCGCUCGCUCUAAGAGGCU
Molecule: long non-coding RNA, 167 nt
Organism: Sapajus apella (tufted capuchin)
Lineage: Eukaryota; Metazoa; Chordata; Mammalia; Primates; Cebidae
Exons: 2
Source: RefSeq, a predicted model, not a curated record